CAGCCGCCACGGUAAUACGGAGGGGGCUAGCGUUGUUCGGAAUUACUGGGCGUAAAGCGCACGUAGGCGGCUUUGUAAGUUAGAGGUGAAAGCCUGGGGCUCAACUCCAGAAUUGCCUUUAAGACUGCAUCGCUUGAACGUCGGAGAGGUGAGUGGAAUUCCGAGUGUAGAGGUGAAAUUCGUAGAUAUUCGCAAGAACACCAGUGGCGAAGGCGGCUCACUGGCCCAUUACUGACGCUGAGGCACGAAAGCGUGGGGAGCAAACAGGAUUAGAUACCCCCGUAGUCCCUGUCUCUUAUAC
Molecule: ribosomal RNA, 301 nt
Filed under: uncultured bacterium
Lineage: Bacteria
Description: partial 16S ribosomal RNA
Rfam family: Bacterial small subunit ribosomal RNA
Source: RNAcentral